RNAcentral lists this ribosomal RNA (253 nucleotides) under uncultured bacterium. RNAcentral describes it as "partial 16S ribosomal RNA". It matches the Rfam family "Bacterial small subunit ribosomal RNA", at positions 524 to 776 of the family's 1533-position model. The record is from RNAcentral.
UACAGAGGUCUCAAGCGUUGUUCGGAAUCACUGGGCGUAAAGAGUGCGUAGGCUGCAUGGAAAGUCAGAUGUGAAAUCUGGGGGCUCAACCUCCAAAUUGCAUCCGAUACUCCCAUGCUAGAGGGCUGGAGAGGAGUCUGGAAUUCUUGGUGUAGCAGUGAAAUGCAUAGAUAUCAAGAGGAACACUAGUGGCGAAAGCGAGACUCUGGACAGCAACUGACGCUGAUGCACGAAGGUCAGGGUAGCGAACGGG